RNAcentral lists this unclassified non-coding RNA (323 nucleotides) under Hevea brasiliensis (rubber tree). Lineage: Eukaryota; Viridiplantae; Streptophyta; Magnoliopsida; Malpighiales; Euphorbiaceae. The record is from RNAcentral.
UGAGCCAUGGACAAAUUAAUGUAAAAGUGGGUGGACUACAGAGUCACGGAACAACAGAAGGGAUGCUAUUGAGGAAUGAUGCUUUAGGAUCAAACAACAAUGGGAAUCAAGAUCACUUGAGGUCUCUUGAUAGCUGUAAGUUAAACUACUCAGCUCCUUCGUCGGAUUUUCACCAUGAAAAAAGUUUGGAGAAUGUUCCUCUAAGAGGUGAAGGUACCGUCGAUUCAUGGAUUUGUCCUUCAGAGUAGGAGAUUAAUGAGAUCAAAUGGCUAGCUUCAGGGAGUACAAAAGAGAAAGUAGACUAUUGAUCAGGAAGGUUUUGC